AGAACGAACGCUGGCGGCGUGCUUAACACAUGCAAGUCGAGUGCGCGCCUGUAGCAAUACAGGUGGCGCACGGCGCACGGGUGCGUAACACGUGGGUAAUCUGCCCUUCGAUGGGGAAUAACUCGCCGAAAGGCGAGCUAAUUCCGCAUAACAUUCCAAGGACUUCGGUUUUUGGACUCAAAGGCGUAAGUCGUCGGAGGAGGAGCCCGCGCACGAUUAGCUAGUUGGUGAGGUAAUGGCUCACCAAGGCUAUGAUCGUUAGCUGGU
RNAcentral lists this ribosomal RNA (267 nucleotides) under uncultured bacterium. RNAcentral describes it as "partial small subunit ribosomal RNA". It matches the Rfam family "Bacterial small subunit ribosomal RNA", at positions 26 to 291 of the family's 1533-position model. The record is from RNAcentral.